UACGGGGGGGGCAAGCGUUGUUCGGAAUUACUGGGCGUAAAGGGCGCGUAGGCGGGUCGCUAAGUCCGGGGUGAAAGCCCCCAGCUUAACUGGGGAAGUGCCUCGGAUACUGGCGGCCUCGAGGGGGAUAGGGGCCCGCGGAACUUCGGGUGGAGCGGUGAAAUGCGUUGAUAUCCGAAGGAACGCCGGUGGCGAAAGCGGCGGGCUGGAUCCCUUCUGACGCUGAGGCGCGAAAGCCAGGGGAGCAAACGGG
This 253-nucleotide ribosomal RNA is filed under the name uncultured bacterium. RNAcentral's name for it is "partial 16S ribosomal RNA". It matches the Rfam family "Bacterial small subunit ribosomal RNA", at positions 524 to 776 of the family's 1533-position model. The record is from RNAcentral.